This 1743-nucleotide long non-coding RNA is filed under the name Brassica napus (rape). RNAcentral's name for it is "long non-coding RNA (BNAP_LNC002067)". Lineage: Eukaryota; Viridiplantae; Streptophyta; Magnoliopsida; Brassicales; Brassicaceae. The record is from RNAcentral.
AAGAAUUUUUAUCAAUAUAUUGUAUUUUUAAAUAAUUUUCUUAAAAACUGCUAUUUCUGGAAAGUUUUCAUUUUUUAGAGAAAUAUUGUAGAUUUGGGUUUGUGAUUUAAAAAUUAGGAUAACAAGAAUAUUUGUGGAUAGAUGAAUAUUAUUUAAGAAUUUUUCAUCAAUGUGUUGUAUUUUUAAAUAAAUUUCUUAAAAACUGCUAUUUUUGGAAAGUUUUCAUUUUUUAGAAAAAUAUUGUAGAUUAGGGUUUGUGAUUUAAAAAUUAGGUUAACAAUAAUAUUUGUGGGUAGAUGAAAAUUAUUUAAGAAUUUUUUAUCAAUGUGUUGUAUUUUUAAGUAAUUUUCUUAAAAACUGCUAUUUUUGGAAAGUUUUCAUUUCUUAGAAAAAUAUUUUAGAUUUGGGUUUGUGAUUUAAAAAUUAGGAUAACAAUAAUAUUUGUGGAUAGAUGAAUACUCUUUAAGAAUUUUUCAUCAACACGUUGUAUUUUUAAAUAAUUUUCUUAAAAACUGCUAUUUUUGGAAACUUUUCAUUUUUUAGAGAAAUGUUGUAGAUUUGGUGUUGUGAUUUAAAAAUUAGGAUAACAAGAAUAUUUGUGGAUAGAUGAAUAUUAUUUAAGAAUAUUUCAUCAAUGUGUUGUAUUUCUUAAUAAUUUUCUUAAAAACUGCUAUUUUUGGAAAGUUUUCAUUUUUUAGAGAAAUAUUGUAGAUUUGGGUUUGUGAUUUAAAAAUUAGGAUAACAAUAAUAUUUGUGGAUAGAUGAAUAUUAUUUAAGAAUUUUUCAUCAAUGUGUUGUAUUUUUAAGUAAUUUUUUUAAAAACUGCUAUUUUUGGAAAUUUUUCAUUUUUUAGAAAAAUAUUUUUGAUUUGGGUUUGUGAUUUAAAAAUUAGGAUAACAAUAAUAUUUGUGGAUAGAUGAAUACUUUUUAAGAAUUUUUCAUCAACACGUUGUAUUUUUAAAUAAUUUUUUUAAAAACUGCUAUUUUUGGAAACUUUUCAUUUUUUAGAGAAAUGUUGUAGAUUUGGUGUUGUGAUUUAAAAAUUAGGAUAACAAGAAUAUUUGUGGAUAGAUGAAUAUUAUUUAAGAAUAUUUCAUCAAUGUGUUGUAUUUCUUAAUAAUUUUCUUAAAAACUGCUAUUUUUGGAAAGUUUUCAUUUUUUAGAGAAAUAUUGUAGAUUUGGGUUUGUGAUUUAAAAAUUAGGAUAACAAUAAUAUUUGUGGAUAGAUGAAUAUUUUUUAAGAAUUUUUCAUCAAUGUGUUGUAUUUUUAAGUAAUUUUCUUAAAAACUGAUAUUUUUGGAAAAUUUUCAUUUUAUUGAUAAAUGUUGUAGAUUUGGGUUUGUGGUUUAGAAAUUAGGAUAACAAAAAUAUUUGUGGAUAGAUGAGUAUUAUUUAAGAAUUUUUCAUCAAUGUGUUGUAUUUUAAAUAAUUUUCCUAAAAACUACUAUUUUUGGAAAGUUUUUAUUUUAAAGAGAAAUAUUAUAGAUUUGGGUUUGUGAUUUAAAAAUUAGGAUAACAAAAAUAUUUGUGGAUAGAUGAGUAUUAUUUAAGAAUUUUUCAUCAAUGUGUUGUAUUUUAAAUAAUUUUCCUAAAAACUACUAUUUUUGGAAAGUUUUUAUUUUAAAGAGAAAUAUUAUAGAUUUGGGUUUGUGAUUUAAAAAUUAGGAUAACAAAAAUAUUUGUGGAUAGAUGAGUAUUAUUUAAGAAUUUUUCAUCAAUGUGUUGUAUUUUUAAAUAAUUUUC